RNAcentral lists this ribosomal RNA (492 nucleotides) under uncultured bacterium. Its description in RNAcentral is "partial 16S ribosomal RNA". It matches the Rfam family "Bacterial small subunit ribosomal RNA", at positions 29 to 507 of the family's 1533-position model. The record is from RNAcentral.
AGUGAACGCUGGCGGUAGGCCUAACACAUGCAAGUCGAACGGCAGCACAGUAAGAGCUUGCUCUUACGGGUGGCGAGUGGCGGACGGGUGAGGAAUACAUCGGAAUCUACUUUUUCGUGGGGGAUAACGUAGGGAAACUUACGCUAAUACCGCAUACGACCUACGGGUGAAAGCAGGGGAUCUUCGGACCUUGCGCGAUUGAAUGAGCCGAUGUCGGAUUAGCUAGUUGGCGGGGUAAAGGCCCACCAAGGCGACGAUCCGUAGCUGGUCUGAGAGGAUGAUCAGCCACACUGGAACUGAGACACGGUCCAGACUCCUACGGGAGGCAGCAGUGGGGAAUAUUGGACAAUUGGCGCAAGCCUGAUCCAGCCAUACCGCGUGGGUGAAGAGGGCCUUCGGGUUGUAAAGCCCUUUUGUUGGGAAAGAAAAGCAGCAGGUUAAUACCCCGCUGUUCUGACGGUACCCAAAGAAUAAGCACCGGCUAACUUCGUG